This 425-nucleotide ribosomal RNA is filed under the name uncultured bacterium. RNAcentral describes it as "partial 16S ribosomal RNA". It matches the Rfam family "Bacterial small subunit ribosomal RNA", at positions 354 to 796 of the family's 1533-position model. The record is from RNAcentral.
GUAGGGAAUCUUGCGCAAUGGGCGAAAGCCUGACGCAGCCAUGCCGCGUGAAUGAUGAAGGUCUUAGGAUUGUAAAAUUCUUUCACCGGGGACGAUAAUGACGGUACCCGGAGAAGAAGCCCCGGCUAACUUCGUGCCAGCAGCCGCGGUAAUACGAAGGGGGCUAGCGUUGCUCGGAAUUACUGGGCGUAAAGGGAGCGUAGGCGGAUAGUUUAGUCAGAGGUGAAAGCCCAGGGCUCAACCUUGGAAUUGCCUUUGAUACUGGCUAUCUUGAGGAUGGAAGAGGUAUGUGGAACUCCGAGUGUAGAGGUGAAAUUCGUAGAUAUUCGGAAGAACACCAGUGGCGAAGGCGACAUACUGGUCCAUUACUGACGCUGAGGCUCGAAAGCGUGGGGAGCAAACAGGAUUAGAAACCCUAGUAGUCC